ACACGUAGGUAACCUGCCUAUAAGACUGGGAUAACUCCGGGAAACCGGGGCUAAUACCGGAUAACAUUUUGCACCGCAUGGUGCGAAAUUGAAAGGCGGCUUCGGCUGUCACUUAUAGAUGGACCUGCGGCGCAUUAGCUAGUUGGUGAGGUAACGGCUCACCAAGGCGACGAUGCGUAGCCGACCUGAGAGGGUGAUCGGCCACACUGGGACUGAGACACGGCCCAGACUCCUACGGGAGGCAGCAGUAGGGAAUCUUCCGCAAUGGACGAAAGUCUGACGGAGCAACGCCGCGUGAGCGAUGAAGGCCUUCGGGUCGUAAAGCUCUGUUGUUAGGGAAGAACAAGUGCUAGUUGAAUAAGCUGGCACCUUGACGGUACCUAACCAGAAAGCCACGGCUAACUACGUGCCAGCAGCCGCGGUAAUACGUAGGUGGCAAGCGUUAUCCGGAAUUAUUGGGCGUAAAGCGCGCGCAGGUGGUUUCUUAAGUCUGAUGUGAAAGCCCACGGCUCAACCGUGGAGGGUCAUUGGAAACUG
RNAcentral lists this ribosomal RNA (537 nucleotides) under Bacillus pseudomycoides. RNAcentral's name for it is "bacterial SSU rRNA". It matches the Rfam family "Bacterial small subunit ribosomal RNA", at positions 113 to 635 of the family's 1533-position model. The record is from RNAcentral. Lineage: Bacteria; Bacillati; Bacillota; Bacilli; Caryophanales; Bacillaceae.